RNAcentral lists this transfer RNA (68 nucleotides) under Glyptocidaris crenularis. RNAcentral describes it as "tRNA-Ser". Lineage: Eukaryota; Metazoa; Echinodermata; Echinoidea; Phymosomatoida; Phymosomatidae. The record is from RNAcentral.
GAAACUUAUUGGUUUGUCUUAGUCCUGCUAAGUCUAAAGUCCUGCGGUUCAAAUCCGUUGAAGUUUCG